ACUGCUCAGUAACACGUGGAUAACCUGCCCUGUGGUGGGAAAUAACCCCGGGAAACUGGGGAUAAUGUCCCAUAGACUACGGAUACUGGAAUGUUCUGUAGUUCAAAGAUUUAUCGCCACAGGAUGGGUCUGCGGCCGAUUAGGUAGUUGUUGGGGUAACGGCCCAACAAGCCUUUGAUCGGUACGGGUUGUGGGAGCAAGAGCCCGGAGAUGGAUUCUGAGACACGAAUCCAGGCCCUACGGGGCGCAGCAGGCGCGAAAACUUUACAAUGCGGGAAACCGUGAUAAGGGAACUCCGAGUGUCCGUAAAUGCGGACUGUCCGUAUGUUUAAAAAGCAUGCGAAGAAAGGGCCGGGCAAGACCGGUGCCAGCCGCCGCGGUAAUACCGGCGGCUCGAGUGGUGGCCACUAUUACUGGGCUUAAAGCGUUCGUAGCUGGGUUGUUAAGUUUCUUGGGAAAUCUACCGGCUUAACCGAUAGGCGUCCAAGGGAUACUGGCAAUCUAGGGACCGGGAGAGGUGAGGGGUACUUCAGGGGUAGGAGUGAAAUCCUGUAAUCCUUGGGGGACCACCUGUGGCGAAGGCGCCUCACCAGAACGGCUCCGACAGUGAGGGACGAAAGCUGGGGGAGCAAACCGGAUUAGAUACCCGGGUAGUCCCAGCCGUAAACGAUGCGCGUUAGGUGUAUCGAUGACCACGAGUCAUCGAGGUGCCGAAGGGAAACCGUGAAACGCGCCGCCUGGGAAGUACGGUCGCAAGGCUGAAACUUAAAGGAAUUGGCGGGGGAGCA
Molecule: ribosomal RNA, 788 nt
Filed under: uncultured archaeon
Lineage: Archaea
Description: bacterial SSU rRNA
Rfam family: Archaeal small subunit ribosomal RNA
Source: RNAcentral